CAUCUUAUCUUGAUUAGCAUCUACUUUAGUAGUUAGAAUAUGCUGAGCAUUUCCUAGUUUCCAAGUUUUCUACUUCUAUAUGUAUCCAAUCCCGCCAUGGUUUAUGGUGUGGCUUAAUGAAAUAGAAAAUUUGCCCCAAAACCUGUCUAUCUCUAAAAAAUGGUAUAGGAGCCCAGUUCUUCCCAGAAUUUUUAUCUAUCCCUGCGUGGCGCCAUGGCCAGCCCUCUCUCUCCUACCACGAGUCCACAACUCCAGCGUACGGCGCCGACAGGCGGCUGCACGCGACUGGCGUGCAGCAGCCGCGGCAGCAGCGAACGCGCAGGAGGAGGAGCAGACGGCACACAACACGGCUGCGGCUCGGGAGGAGCGCAUCACAGCAGCAGAGGCUGCAGUGGCACGCGCGGCUGAGAC
Molecule: unclassified non-coding RNA, 411 nt
Filed under: Zea mays
Lineage: Eukaryota; Viridiplantae; Streptophyta; Magnoliopsida; Poales; Poaceae
Description: misc RNA Zm00001eb050750
Source: RNAcentral